RNAcentral lists this ribosomal RNA (667 nucleotides) under uncultured Streptococcus sp. RNAcentral describes it as "bacterial SSU rRNA". It matches the Rfam family "Bacterial small subunit ribosomal RNA", at positions 28 to 678 of the family's 1533-position model. The record is from RNAcentral. Lineage: Bacteria; Bacillati; Bacillota; Bacilli; Lactobacillales; Streptococcaceae.
GACGAACGCUGGCGGCGUGCCUAAUACAUGCAAGUAGAACGCUGAAGAAAGGAGCUUGCUUCUUUUGGAUGAGUUGCGAACGGGUGAGUAACGCGUAGGUAACCUGCCUUGUAGCGGGGGAUAACUAUUGGAAACGAUAGCUAAUACCGCAUAACAGCUUUUGACACAUGUUAGAAGCUUGAAAGAUGCAAUUGCAUCACUACGAGAUGGACCUGCGUUGUAUUAGCUAGUAGGUAGGGUAACGGCCUACCUAGGCGACGAUACAUAGCCGACCUGAGAGGGUGAUCGGCCACACUGGGACUGAGACACGGCCCAGACUCCUACGGGAGGCAGCAGUAGGGAAUCUUCGGCAAUGGGGGCAACCCUGACCGAGCAACGCCGCGUGAGUGAAGAAGGUUUUCGGAUCGUAAAGCUCUGUUGUAAGAGAAGAACGUGUGUGAGAGUGGAAAGUUCACACAGUGACGGUAACUUACCAGAAAGGGACGGCUAACUACGUGCCAGCAGCCGCGGUAAUACGUAGGUCCCGAGCGUUGUCCGGAUUUAUUGGGCGUAAAGCGAGCGCAGGCGGUUUAAUAAGUCUGAUGUUAAAGGCAGUGGCUUAACCAUUGUUCGCUUUGGAAACUGUUAAACUUGAGUGCAGAAGGGGAGAGUGGAAUUCCAUGUGUAG